GGGAGACCCGGGCUGGACGGUUGGGAAGGAAGGUCGUGGACAACAAAGUAAUGAACAAAAAUAUGUUUCACGCAUGAGAAGCUGUCCGAGAUGGCAGUGAGGGAGAGGUCAUGGCAAACGGUGUUUAUGGCAUGGAAAAGUGAAGAUUCAAAAAAAAACCCAAGGAGAGGCCAAGAUAGUGUGGAAAAUAUCCACCCCCUCCCAGAGACAGCUCAUUAGGAAGGUUUUGGAGGGAGACUCGCAGGAGGUCAGGGGCUGCUGUGUUAUCUUUGGAGGAAAGGCCAUCCCUUCUCUUCCCCUCCGCAGACGUAUCCAGUGAGACAACUCUCUCCCCAGCAAGCUUUUCUCAGGGAGCAGGCAGUUUCUUGAAAAAAUGAACCAGAUGAGGAUCCACCCACCUCCAGAAACAAAGACUGUGGCUGUCUCCAAGAAUGAAGCACCAGUCUCUUAGUUGGUAUCCCCAGGAGACCAAGUGAGUAGGUAUUACAAAUAUAAUCAGGGAAAAGAAGCUAUUUUAAAAAAUCGGUCAUUGGGCAGGAUGUUCCAAAGGGCAGAUGAAUGUAACUUCCAAGAUGAAGUAACCGGAUGUCUGUCAACUCAGAAAACAAGCUUAAAUGCCUUCUCUUCCAUGAAGACUUCCUUGAUCACUCCUGUCUUUACAGAUGAACGGCUAACUGGAAUACCAACAGAAUAAACAGACUUUAGUCCUGCCAUCUGCCCUGGCCCAUGCAGCCUGGCAUUGUUUAGGGGAUCAUACCUGGCUUCCCACCCAGGCCACAUGACUCUAGAGGGCAAGACUUAGUAAGGUCACGUAGUAGGAGCUCAAUAUAAUUUAUUGGUUAGACAAGAGGAAACCACUUCUUCUCUUGACAAGCCAUCAUUCUCAGGGCCUUCUGCCAAGGGCCCGCUUUGAUCUCCCUUAAAGGACAGCAUUAUCUGACCAGAGGUAAAUUGUAACCACUGAAAGUCCGCUGUUUCGAUUCUGGGCAAGAUGCUAUGGCAGAACAGGGACCAUGAUGAACUACUUAGAAAAAUACAUAAGGCCAUACCCAUGCAGGAGACCUCUCCAGGUACACAUAUUUCCUGCUACUGAAUGGCUUAGACUGGGAUUUGCAAGGAACUACGAAGUCCAAGACCUUUGCCUUUCUUUUAGAAGAAGGCACCAGCUGGUUCUCCAAUGUUGAAGGUCUUCUCCAGAGAUGUACUCAAAAUUGGAUGGAUGGAUCUAUAUAUUCCUGGGCCACAGGGGCAUGCAGAAGGAGUGAAAAAACAAGAAGGAAGACAAGGAAGACAUUGUUUUGGCUGCUGACAUUUCCUGAAAGAUCUGAGGCGUCCCCUUCACUUCGGGCAUGGGACCCAGACGGCUGAGUGAUGGACCUUAAGGUGUGGGGAGAUUACAACUUGCUCAAGGUCUCAUAGCUAGAAGAUGUCAGAGUGAUAACUCAAACCAUGUCACAUGACUCUAAGCCCAAAGCAGCCUCUAGAAGGUUGUUUGAUCUUCUGAUGGAAGCACAAAUCACCAUUCCAACAUGAAAGAUGGAGAAACUUAAGUCUAGAGAGAUUUAAAGGACUUGUCAAAGGCAAUGAAACAAGUGGAACUCUGAAAGCCACAUGUUGAGAUGGCCCCAUUACAGGAUGGAGAGCACCUGAACCCCCAAGUUAUGGACUAGAAGAAGACAGUUGCCCUGGAAAAUCAUCUGACCCACAUUGGACUUUAUGUGAGGGGGAAAUAAACCUUUAUUAUGUUAAGC
This is a long non-coding RNA of Homo sapiens (human), 1751 nucleotides long. Ensembl annotates it as long intergenic non-protein coding RNA 511. NCBI's taxonomy places the organism in Eukaryota, Metazoa, Chordata, Mammalia, Primates, Hominidae. The record is from Ensembl.